This is a long non-coding RNA of Sebastes umbrosus (honeycomb rockfish), 162 nucleotides long. RefSeq lists it as uncharacterized. The record is from RefSeq and is a predicted model, not a curated record. The transcript is spliced from 2 exons. Lineage: Eukaryota; Metazoa; Chordata; Actinopteri; Perciformes; Sebastidae.
CUCCCCCACUAUUAUCAUUAUGAAAAUAAACAUAUCAUAAUGAACGUUUAUUACUGUCCUGCCACAGCCACAGAUACCUGAUUUUUUGUUUUGUUUUGUCAGAGCAUUUGAUUCAUUGAUUGCUGUCGGGAUGUAAUGAGAAUUUCAACUAAUAUAAAAAUU